AUUUUUUUAGUAUAAUCUAGUACGUUUGACUUCCAAUCAAAAAGCCUAAAAUUUAGAAAAAAUA
This 64-nucleotide transfer RNA is filed under the name Longpotamon kenliense. RNAcentral's name for it is "tRNA-Gly". It matches the Rfam family "tRNA". Rfam says of the family: Transfer RNA (tRNA) molecules are approximately 80 nucleotides in length. RNAcentral also lists the same sequence under 1 other name. Lineage: Eukaryota; Metazoa; Arthropoda; Malacostraca; Decapoda; Potamidae. The record is from RNAcentral.